This 486-nucleotide ribosomal RNA is filed under the name uncultured bacterium. Its description in RNAcentral is "partial 16S ribosomal RNA". It matches the Rfam family "Bacterial small subunit ribosomal RNA", at positions 29 to 507 of the family's 1533-position model. The record is from RNAcentral.
AUUGAACGCUGGCGGCAUGCCUUACACAUGCAAGUCGAACGGCAGCACGGGGGGUAACCCCUGGUGGCGAGUGGCGAACGGGUGAGUAAUAUAUCGGAACGUGUCCUGUAGCGGGGGAUAACCUAUCGAAAGAUGGACUAAUACCGCAUACGACCUACGGGUGAAAGCGGAGGACCGCAAGGCUUCGCACUAUCGGAGCGGCCGAUAUCGGAUUAGCUAGUUGGCGGGGUAACGGCCCACCAAGGCGACGAUCCGUAGCUGGUCUGAGAGGCCGAUCAGCCACACUGGAACUGAGACACGGUCCAGACUCCUACGGGAGGCAGCAGUGGGGAAUUUUGGACAAUGGGCGCAAGCCUGAUCCAGCCAUGCCGCGUGAGUGAAGAAGGCCUUCGGGUUGUAAAGCUCUUUCGGCGGGGACGAAACGGUUCGUGCUAAUACCACGGACUACUGACGGUACCCGCAGAAGAAGCACCGGCUAACUACGUG